CCUAGGAGCUUUAAGGCGAAGAAGGUCGUGGUAAGCUGCGAAAAGCUUGGGGGAGAAGCAAACAUUUAUUGAUCCCAAGAUUACCGAAUGGAGUAAUCCAGCUAGCAAGAUGCUAGCUAUCUAUUAUUUAAAUAAUAGAGGCGAUACCAGGGGAAGUGAACCAUCUAAGUACCCUGAGGAAAAGAAAUCAAAGAGAUUCCCUUAGUAGUGGCGAGCGAAAAGGGAGUAGCCCAAACUUUAAAUGUGUCAAGCUGC
RNAcentral lists this ribosomal RNA (255 nucleotides) under Borreliella burgdorferi (Lyme disease spirochete). RNAcentral's name for it is "partial 23S ribosomal RNA". It matches the Rfam family "Bacterial large subunit ribosomal RNA", at positions 31 to 287 of the family's 2925-position model. RNAcentral also lists the same sequence under 1 other name. The record is from RNAcentral. Lineage: Bacteria; Pseudomonadati; Spirochaetota; Spirochaetia; Spirochaetales; Borreliaceae.